RNAcentral lists this ribosomal RNA (459 nucleotides) under uncultured bacterium. Its description in RNAcentral is "partial 16S ribosomal RNA". It matches the Rfam family "Bacterial small subunit ribosomal RNA", at positions 338 to 795 of the family's 1533-position model. The record is from RNAcentral.
CCUACGGGAGGCAGCAGUGAGGAAUAUUGGUCAAUGGGCGGAAGCCUGAACCAGCCAAGUAGCGUGCGGGAUGAAGGCCCUACGGGUCGUAAACCGCUUUUGCACGGGGAUAACACCCUCCACUUGUGGAGGUCUGCAGGUACCGUGCGAAUAAGGGCCGGCUAAUUCCGUGCCAGCAGCCGCGGUAAUACGGAAGGCCCGAGCGUUAUCCGGGUUCAUUGGGCUUAAAGGGAGCGUAGGCGGGCGUUCAAGUCAGCUGUAAAAGCGCGCGGCUCAACCGCGCCCCGCAGUUGAAACUGGACGCCUUGAGUUCACAACAGGCAGGCGGAAUUCGUGGUGUAGCGGUGAAAUGCAUAGAUAUCACGAGGAACCCCGAUGGCGAAGGCAGCCUGCCGGGGUGCGACUGACGCUGAGGCUCGAAGGUGUGGGUAUCAAACAGGAUUAGAUACCCUUGUAGUC